UUGUUGCUGUGGACAGAGAAAGACGCAGAGAGAAAGAGAGAGAGAGAGAGAAGCACGGUCAGCGGACGAAUCGCGACACUGAGACAACGACAUGGCGUGAGCCUGCAAGAGGAGACGAAACACGGAGAACUCAUCGGCUCACACACAAGACACAAGGACGUGUCCUGUCCAGAGAAAAAGAGAGAGGACGACGAGCGGACACUGACCACAUCCCUAUGUCCUCUGACCUCUGGCUAAUGGGACCAUGUGAAUGCUACAGAUGUACAGACUCACUGUGGACAAGGUGACGACAAGAAACAAGAAAAUUACACCAGCUCCUGUCUGGAUGGGAAUCACCAGGGAAACCACAUUUUUUAUCGAUAAUGUAUAUAUAUAUAAAAAAAAAAAAACUUGAAAAAAGACAAAAAAAAAAGAAGAAACUGGUUGUAAUACCACCGUCAUGAAUAUGUAUAUUUUCACAGGAUGUGUAUAGGGGUUCAGCCAGGCUUUCAAAGUUGAGAAUAAGCGUUGGGAAUGAUGCAAGUACAAUUCUAUGUGUAAAUCAGAAGUUCGAGUUGGUUACAGAUAAACGGUAUUUUCCACACAUAAUACACAAACACACACAAUGCGAGGCUUUACUUCAGUUCCUCCUCUGUAAUUCCCCCUCUCAAAGUUUAAAUGUGAAGAUCACUCGAGUCCAAACCCAGAAAAUGACUCUGUUUCAUGUCGUCUGAAGCCAAAGACGCGCUGCGAAAAGUAAAACAGUAUUUGGACGCAACCUGCUAAGUUCUCUAAUACACCCCGCCCCGUCAGUCAGUAAUUAGCAGGGAUAUUCUUGGAUGGAGACAUCUGUGACAUUUGAAAAUGAAAGUUGAAACUGCAGCAGAAUAAACAUGUCAGGGAGAAUUACACACAUAACCCGACUGCUCAAAGAGGGAUCUUUCAUGUUGCAGCUGCGGCUAAAAGCUGCUGUGACAGCUUCCCUGCAAACUCCAGGGCUGGAGACAACUUCUCUGUGGCCACAUGAAAUGGCUUGCCUCUUUAUCUCCUGAUGAGAGGCGGCGAGAUUGAGAUGGGGGGGAGAGAGGGGGACGCGCAGGGAGAGUGAGAGGGAACGCUGAUGUGACGACUGAAGGCUGGUGUUUAGCACAGAGCACUGGCACACCCUGAGACAGCGCUACAUAUGCAGCAGUCAAACAUGGGCAAGACACACAUGCAUAAUGGAGGCCCAUUACAUGCCAACUGUCUGAACAGCUUCCUAAAGCAGCUGUGAGGCCAGUGAACAUGAAGUGGAAAGAUCCAUUGAGGUCUAAAGCAUUUAUACUUUCACAAGCGAGUGCAAAAAAAAAAAAAAAAAAAUAUGCACGAAAAUGCAAAUGCAAUGAACAAAACCCCCCGCACACAAACUGGAUUCCAAGAAAUGUUUUUCUCAUCAACGCGCGCACACACACACAGAUGAAUACAAACUCUUACACACAACCAACCCCCCCCCCCCCCGUCUAAGCUCUGAGUAAAGUUCCACCAGGAGGAGCCCUGGUGUGUAAUGUCGCUGCAGCAGAUUGAGCGUGUUUGAAGUGCAGCGUGAUGAGAGAGCUGGUAAACAGCAGAUGAAAAAGCAGCAUCUCUCUGUGCGCCGCUGUCUGUCUCACCUGCCAGCGAGGCGAUAACUCCAUCCACAUCACAUGUCGCCAUAUCAAAGACCGACAAAUGCCAAGCAGUGUCUCUGACUUGCAGGUUCACACGCACUCAGUUUAACUCAUCUCCCUCACUUAGGGCAUCUGAUUUAGCUCAUCUGAAAGCGAAAUGCCUUUCAAACCUCACUGAAGAUUUCAGGGCUGCAAGCUCUGACUCGCCGACGCCCCCCUUUAACUUGGCUGACUUUCAGAGCAGUUUGUUUGUGUCCAAUUACCAAACACUGCUCCUGCUCUGGGUUAAAAUAUUUAUAAAAAAAAAUAAAUUGCUUUCAUGUUUGUAAUCCAGAUUUGUGCAGCUUAAUUCUCAAUGAAACGUUCAGUAUAUAUUCCAAAAGUGCUUCCAUUUUUAUUUUUUUUUUUUGGAAAGCAAGUCCGGGCCGCUGCUUCUCUGCUGGCUGCAGUCGUCCACUCAGCGUUGAAUGUGCACAAAGUGCACGAAGCGUUAGUGCUGUGUGUCCAGCAAUGUGCUGUCUUAUUGGUGUUUAGCUCAUCCCCCGCACCACUUGACCUCGUGACCUCCGUAAAAGAUAAGGCUGAUGAGAUUAGGCAUUAACAUGCUCAGCCACCCACCGCAGCCAUUUAUCAUUUUGUGUGAGUGUGUGUGUGUGUGUGUGCGUUUGCAGAUAGGAGGCGAGUCUGAGGUAGUGGGAAAGAGAACAAGAGGGGGCGAGUGAACAUCUCAGCACCGUUAAGACACAAACACACACGCAUGCUUGAACAUGAGAAUGUGCCCGCACGCAAAGCAAGAACAAACACACAACCAAACACUUGGUACGACCCACGUGCACAUCUGCAUCCAGGGCGCACAUCCCUGGUGGUCUUUCUAACCCGCGUCCAAACUGUAGAUUAAGCCUGUAAAUUUCGCUGUCUACAAACUGAUGGACUUUGACGUGUGUCUUUCUAUCUUCUGCAACUAAAUGUGAAUCAUUACCUUGUGUACAGUAGUUUUCAAAAAGAAACAUCUGUGGUGUUUUGCUAUCGAUCGACUAUCCCGAGCUGCGGACUUGACCCAGAAUUAAAUUACAAAAUUAGGACUUGAGGCUGUCUGACAGUUUGAGCUGAUUACUAUUCCAACUGGUGUUUUUAAGGUUGCUUUAAAGGCAGCUGGCCUCUUUAGAAAGCCAGCCACACUUUUUUUCCUGUGCAAUGUAAAUCUUUAAAAGGAAAAUAUUUAAAUCCAUGUGUUUUUAAUAAGCGGAGACUAAAUUCAGAAACCUGCAGGACUCAAAUGAAGACUCGUUUUCAAUGACUUCACUUGGACAAUCCCCAAAACAACACCAGCUCUGCCACUGAUUUGGGGGGGGAGGGGACAUGCACCAUGGCAACCACGAAAUAAUCUCUAUGCUUACACUACAACGUGAAGAUCACAGCAAUAUGACAAACCAAAGGAGCAGGACAGCAGCAAGUGUGAAAGCAGAUUUUGUAGAUUACCUCUGUGUAUGUCUGCUUUUUUGGGGGGAGCGGGAUAAGAAACACAAAUACCGGGGAAAUACUUACGAACCACCCUGCAAUAAGCUGUCUGUUUAUAAGUGGCAAUAAGCGCGUACUUAGCCUGGGAUUCAACACUGCGGUUCUGGAACUGCUCUGGGACCAGAUCCAAGUCUUCCGAUCUCAGUAUCGACUCAGUACCCAAGGACCUCAUGGACUUGCAAUAGAAAUGUCCUUGUAUAGUGUUACGCAAUAAUCAGAUGUUGAGAACUCCUCCAUAUUGAGCGUAUUCAAAAGCAAAAAGGGGUACCCGGAGGGAGGGGGGGAGGGGAUGUGAUGAUGUUGUUGAAUUAACAGUAUUGUUAUUUUGCCGUGUUCCGUUCUGUGUCUUCAUCAUCCAAGUUGUACUCAGCUGUAUGAGCCCUCUCUGACCCUAUGCAUGUGAUCCUUCACCCCACAUCUGUAGUUACGACAUUGACCUCUCCCUCUGACCUGGAUGUAAAUAGCCCAGUACUGUAGAGCAGUCUGUUUUUGGCCCGUCCCUGUACAUACAGAACUGUAAAUACUACCAGCUAUGCAUGCUGAAAACCUAGCAAUUCUUUCAGGUACUUUUAUAAUCCCCCAAAUUCUCAUAUGGCAUGUGCUGAAAAAUAAAUUUAAAAAAGUAGAAAAAAUAAAAGAUUAAAAUUAAAAAAAAAAAAAAAAAAAAUGUUUAAAAUAAAUGGGUUGAUAAUAUUGUCAGGCAAUAUCCUCUCUUGGACAGUGUGUGUAGAGUCUUCCUGUUUUCUUACUCCUGUGGGUGGUUCUCUUCCUUUGCCUGUCCUGUGUUUCUGCUCACCAUCUGUGUCACUUGUUGUCAGUUGGCAUUUGUACAGCAGCGAGGGUUGAGGCAGAGAAGAGAAGAGAAAAGAAGAGAGGGGGAGCGUUCACCAUCUUGACCUCUGUGAUGGCACUCCAAUUCAGCAGCAGCAGUGCUAAACGUUGGCAAACUUAUCUAUGCCUGGGACACAAUUUGAGAAGUUCGUUCCUGGCACGGACCACAAAUAAUUACGCUCGUCGUGUGAAGGCCCGCUGGAUAUCCAGGGAACGGUUUCGGUCAGAACUAUAAGUUUUGGGGUUUUUCUCGGCCUACUUAAAGUUUGGGAUGCUGUCCGUCACAGACAAGCAGCGUUUUGUGGUCUUAAGUACCUACGUUGUUGCUCUUAUCAUUUCUCAGAAAUCCUGUUUUAGACAUAUUUGAACUGACAUCUAAACUACAGUACGUAUUUUCUUUCCUCAUCUAUUAAUGGUAUAUCAUAAAUAUAACGGCAUUCAGUGAAAAAAAAGGAAAAAAAAGGCAAUUUUCUACCACCCAGCGUAAUAAGGCUACCGCAUACAUUUGGAAAAGUACUUCCUGGCUGGUAGCCUCAGUGAAGGGAUCAGGAGGAGUGCAGUUUUUGCCUCAGCCCUCUGCCCAGCCUCGUGGAGUAGCUAUCCUGAAAGCGGGACUCCAGAUUGAUUGUGAUUCUGUUUCAGGAAUGUUUUUUUUUGUUUCUUUUAUUUUGUUUUUCAACCUGUGAUGUUUCAAAUUGAUGGAGGUGUCUGAUUUUUAAUCUGUGCUAAAGAUAUUUUACAUUUAAUAAAUAACCAUUGAAAUCAAA
Mugil cephalus (flathead mullet) is the source of this 4741-nucleotide long non-coding RNA. RefSeq lists it as uncharacterized. The transcript is spliced from 2 exons. NCBI's taxonomy places the organism in Eukaryota, Metazoa, Chordata, Actinopteri, Mugiliformes, Mugilidae. The record is from RefSeq and is a predicted model, not a curated record.